This 273-nucleotide ribosomal RNA is filed under the name uncultured Dialister sp. Its description in RNAcentral is "partial 16S ribosomal RNA". It matches the Rfam family "Bacterial small subunit ribosomal RNA", at positions 83 to 339 of the family's 1533-position model. Lineage: Bacteria; Bacillati; Bacillota; Negativicutes; Veillonellales; Veillonellaceae. The record is from RNAcentral.
AAGCAGAGGACAGUGGCGGACGGGUGAGUAACGCGUGAGGAACCUGCCUUUCAGAGGGGGACAACAGACGGAAACGACUGCUAAUACCGAAUAAGUUCCAAGAGCCGCAUGGCCCAUGGAAGAAAAGGUGGCCUCUACCUGUAAGCUAUCGCCUGAAGAGGGGUUUGCGUCUGAUUAGCUGGUUGGUGAGGUAACGGCUCACCAAGGCGACGAUCAGUAGCCGGCUUGAGAGAGUGAACGGCCACACUGGAACUGAGACACGGUCCAGACUCC